RNAcentral lists this transfer RNA (57 nucleotides) under Chimarra paramonorum. Its description in RNAcentral is "tRNA-Ser". The record is from RNAcentral. Lineage: Eukaryota; Metazoa; Arthropoda; Insecta; Trichoptera; Philopotamidae.
GAAAUAUCCAUAAAGAGGUCUUCUAAACCAAUUAAUAGUGUCUACAUUAAUAUUUCU